Molecule: ribosomal RNA, 443 nt
Filed under: uncultured bacterium
Lineage: Bacteria
Description: partial 16S ribosomal RNA
Rfam family: Bacterial small subunit ribosomal RNA
Source: RNAcentral
CCUACGGGAGGCAGCAGUGAGGAAUAUUGGGCAAUGGGCGCAAGCCUGACCCAGCAACGCCGCGUGAAGGAAGAAGGCUUUCGGUUUGUAAACUUCUUUUCUCAGGGACGAAGCAAGUGACGGUACCUGAGGAAUAAGCGACGGCUAACUACAUGCCAGGAGCCGCGGUAAUACGUAGGUGGCAAGCGUUAGACGGAUUUACUGGGUGUAAAGGGCGAGUGGGCGGGACUGCAAGUCAGGUGUGAAAACCACGGGCUCAACCUGUGGCCUGCAUUUGAAACUGUAGUUCUUGAGUACUGGAGAGGCAGACGGAAUUCCUAGUGUAGCGGUGAAAUGCGUAGAUAUUAGGAGGAACACCAGUGGCGAAGGCGGUCUGCUGGACAGACACUGACGCUGAGGCGCGAAAGCGUGGGGAGCAAACAGGAUUAGAUACCCUUGUAGUC